This 1193-nucleotide long non-coding RNA is filed under the name Phascolarctos cinereus (koala). RNAcentral's name for it is "lncRNA (ENSPCIG00000005476.2)". The record is from RNAcentral. Lineage: Eukaryota; Metazoa; Chordata; Mammalia; Diprotodontia; Phascolarctidae.
UGGUCAUAUGACAUUUAGAUCUAAGCUGCCCUGCUCUCUGGGGACGCUAUGUAGUACUAGUGAAGGCACUCCCCCUUUCCAGGCCCCAGUCUGUGCCAACCAAUGCUCUAGGCAACACUGCCCCUCCUUUCCCCCCUGACAAUGCCAGGGCUAUGCCAGCUGAGCACAUGAUGAGUGAGUUUCCCCAAAGUCCAGCACAUAACUAACUUAGGAAUAAUGCUAUUCUAAUAGUAUUGCUUGCUUUCUCAGUGGGUGGCAGAGGGGUGAGAGGGAAGGAGAGAAUUUCAAACUCAAAAAAAAAAAUUUAAAUACUAAAAAUAAAUAAUAAAAUUUUUAAGAAAAAGGGAAAAAAUAAUACUAUUCUUUUUUCUACUAACUGAGGGAAGGGAAACUGACUUUCUACUGACUGAGAGAGAGGGGAGGAAGGGAGUAGGGAGGGAGGCUCAGUCUUUUCUAGGCAGGGUCCCCAUCUGUUUCCCGGAUGUUGUUGGCCUCAGGAAGUCAAGGGUGGAGUGUUUAGUAACCUCAAGUUACCUCCUUAUCUACAGUUCCUGCCCCUGUUUCAAACAAUCCAGAGGUCUGGUAGAAGAGUUUUAUGGAGAUCGAGGGGAGGAGGAAAACGGACAGGAGAGAGCAAGGCAAAUAGGCCGUCGACCCACAACUCCGGUUCCUGCCCAGAAGACUUUUAUCUUGGAGCCCCUCCCUGGGUGCAGGAGGAAAGUUGAGUCAUGAAGUGAGUUGAGACAUACUCCUCUGAAUCCUUCCUGCCCUUUUUACAAAGCCUGAUCUCUCAUGGGGGGAGUCAUGGGGAAGAUAAUAAGUAAGAAAGGAGUUCAGCUCGUUGGAGAACAGGGACCCAGACAAGACAACACUUGAUCAAAAGCCAUGGGAGUCCUUUAACCCAGCCCCACUAAAGACUGGAAGGAGUGAGGCUUCUUUCCUCCACUCAGUAGCCUUCCAGCCCCACCCAACAACAGGCUCAGACUUCCCAGUGGAUUGACCCAGCUCUUCCACUUCUGAGAGCCCAAGAGGCCGUACUCACUCAGGGCUCCAUCUUCUUCUUUUUCAGGAUGGGGAAUGGGCAGGGAGACAGAAGCAGUACCCUUAACCUUGCCUGGGACCUGGCACUAAGCCACCGGAGAAAGCCAGGCCCCUGGAACUGAGCUAGGAAACACCAUGAGCAGCUAGACACC